RNAcentral lists this long non-coding RNA (483 nucleotides) under Musa acuminata (dwarf banana). RNAcentral's name for it is "long non-coding RNA (MACU_LNC005084)". Lineage: Eukaryota; Viridiplantae; Streptophyta; Magnoliopsida; Zingiberales; Musaceae. The record is from RNAcentral.
AAAACCAAACUUAGAUCUUGGAUUCAUAUUUCACAUAUCGAUCUCAGUAUCUUAUUCUCUAAUGCAAUCUCAAUUUUCAAUGUUCCAAAUAUCUUGGGGCCACUAGUUCAUACUGGCAGAAGGCCUAUUUAUUCAAAUAGCCGAGACUAACUUAAUCUUCUUCUGCUGGUACCGAUCAAAUAUUUUUGUUUUCCAGGUGUAAGUGCGAGAUCCUCCUCAGUGUUCGGCCUUUCGACGAACUCAAGCGAAAUAUGUACUUGAGGAAUAAGUUUGAAUCAUAAUGUGGUCUAUGUUACUUGUAUCUGUUUCUGGAAUUACUGCUCUAAAUAGCAAAAUAUAAGCCUUUUCGCCGUUAGAUUUACCUGUUCUAUAUCUACAUUUUCUUUUGACAAUGUUGAUGUCAGCAUCACAAGCAGAUUUACUAGCGCCAUGUUAUGAGAACAUCAAAAAGGGCAGAACACCACAAUUCCAUUAUAUCUGGAA